CUUCCUACUUGGCAGGGGAGAUACCAUAAUCAAGGUUGUUUUCCCAGGGUGAGGCCUGUCCCUCGCACUCCGGGCAGAAUCACCCCUGCAAGUUUCGAGAUGCGGAAAACUCGACCGCACAGUUUCGUAGUAACGGGACUGUUUGCGCUUUUCCCCU
RNAcentral lists this small nuclear RNA (157 nucleotides) under Crocodylus porosus (Australian saltwater crocodile). RNAcentral describes it as "U1 spliceosomal RNA (ENSCPRG00005005900.1)". It matches the Rfam family "U1 spliceosomal RNA". From Rfam's summary of the family: U1 is a small nuclear RNA (snRNA) component of the spliceosome (involved in pre-mRNA splicing). Its 5' end forms complementary base pairs with the 5' splice junction, thus defining the 5' donor site of an intron. There are significant differences in sequence and secondary structure between metazoan and yeast U1 snRNAs, the latter being much longer (568 nucleotides as compared to 164 nucleotides in human). Lineage: Eukaryota; Metazoa; Chordata; Crocodylia; Crocodylidae. The record is from RNAcentral.